GACAAAAGGGUUUUUCGGAUGAAAAAUCUAGACUAACGACUACAAGCAAGCGUGGUUAAAAAACUGCAGCAUGAUUGGGCGAAAGCCCCCUCUGAUCAUUACCCGUAAUGCUUUUCAGGUCAUUAAAAAACAGCAAGCGGUAUCCCAACCGAAAACACAAGUUCAUUGACAAUGACAAAUUUUUGUCACUAGUUUAUAGGUGAAAAUUAUUUACACAACAGAACAUAGAUGCAUGCAAUUCUUUCCUUGAGUUGUCUUUACACCAAAUACCAUGAAAGUUUGAAAAGAUGAUCACAAAACAGUAAGUUUUUAAGUGUUAUAUUGGCUCAAUAAAUUCUAAACUCCAUUAGUUGGGGGCAAAUAAGACUGAUGAGGUGAAGCUGGUGAGCCCUCUUCAAUGUCUAUAUCUUUCACACCAGCACUUAAUGAUGAAGAUGAGUCGCAUCUCCCAUCCUUUAGCUUAUUAUCACCAUUUUCAUCAUCAUCCUUGUCCUCAAAGAAAGAACCUUUCCGCCGGAGUUCCUUUACCUUUCGAAACUCAUCAUAGUGUGCUCGUCUGUGCUCCUUAAAACUUGCAUUCCUAUCUAAUUCAGAAUCUGGCAACAGUGAUUCAGAAUCUGGCAACAACCAAGCAAAAAAACCCAUCAGCCUUAUUAAGACAAGUAAUUGAAACACACUGUACAAGUAAAAGAAAAGGGAAAUAAAUGAAGUGAGGGAAGGAGCAAUCUUUUUUUAUUUCAUGGCUAAGUUUAUCGAAUUCUCAUCCAGUUGUUUGGCGAAAGGGAAAAUAAGAUCAUUUCUCAAGCAAAGUGGCUGGGUCUAAGGAGGGCAGGUAAGGUGCAAAUAACACCAACCUGCUGUCACAAGAACCAAGAAAAAAAAAUAGUGAUACAACAAAUGAAGGUGAAAUCUGAUUCAUAUGUUUGAAAGCAAAUUUAAGAAUUCUUUUUACAGUUGCUGCUAAAAAUGAUUGGUUGUUAGUAGGUAUCUCAAGAGGAGAAUUAUAAUGCAACUCCAAAGCAGUCAUGCAUCACUCGUACAAGGAAAGCACUUUACAUCUCCUGCUCCUUUCAUAUUCUUUCAUCAAUUCUUGAUUAGAAUCACCAUAUCUAUUUAAUUUGCAAAGCAGUGGCACAGGUAAUGAGCUUGCAACCACAAGAUUGUAGGUUCAAGUCUGAAAAGCAUUAAUUUCAUAUGAAAAGGCUGAACAAAAAUAAUAAAAUUAUGACUAAGGGAAAGAAUAAACAAGGAGCAAAACUUGUUUGAACAACCACCUUCAUCUUGUUCCAUAGGAUCAGCCUCAUCCUCAGAUGAUGUCCAGCCACCAGAUCGCCUACCAGCGUUUCUACUGGAAGAAGCCACUGUAUCCAGUGCAGUCCGUAGUUCCUCUGCACGCAUUGCUUCACCAACAACAUCAUCAAAGCUGCCUCGCCUAGGAGACAGAGACCCUAUAACAAUAAAAAUUUUCAGAUUUUUUCCAAUGACAGUUCAGAAGAUCACAACUUUUAAUCAUAAAAUUCCAACGUAAAGCUGACAGUGAAAGAAAUGGUGAUCAUUGAAACAGCAAUUCAGUGAUCCAAUAUCAACUAAUGAAAAAAUAAAGCCAAAGUUCAGAAAUGCUAGACAAAAAUUAAACUAAUCAAGGGCUUAUUCCAACACACAGGCACAGCUGCAAGUUAAUGGUAGAGAAACACUACUACAUAAAACAUAUACACGUGCAAAAAAAAACGUUUAACCGACUUCUAUAGAAGGAGAAGCUGUACAGAUCAACUUACCAUCAUCAUCAAUCAUGGGGUGAUAAGGUGUCUUGGGUUCAGUUAUUUUCUGUCUCACGGGCUUAUUUGCUUCAAUUUCCCCUAUAUUUGCCUCAUCCCAUCUUACACGAGCCCUAUUACCUCUAUUAAAUGAGAGGAUGUCAGCAUAGACUUCAAAUAAUAGAUCAUAUUGUAAACAAGCAAACUAAUGUACUGCUCUAGCAAGAAAUUCAUAAAAGAAUGACUAUUCUGAAAAGAAAGAAUAAACAAUAAUAGUACAAAUUGGAAAAGGACAGACAGCCACAAGGUUGUCAUGAUUGUAAGUCGUCUGCUAUAGGCAAUUUAAAAUUGUCUUCUUUUAAUUCCUUGUGAUUUAUACUAACAAUCCCUUGGCCUCUGGUACCAGGACAACAGAUCAAAUAUUUUGAGCUGAAUAACAAAAGCACCGAUCAAAUUCUCAUGUAUGUAAAAAAAAUAAGAUGAUAAAAUGAUUUUGAGCAUAAAUAUCUAAAAACUGAUUCAGUUCCUCAUUGCACACAGUUGCAUUCAUAUAUUUUUAACAUCUCUCCAUGGUUUCCUGUUAGAAACUUAGAAUUCACCAAAUACUCCCUAACAGAUUUCUCUGAACUAAAAUAAUAUCAUCAAUGAAUGAGAAUAUAUUUUCAACUUUGCUAGUAGGUCUAUAAAUGUUUAAUCUCCUAACAUUAGCUCUACUAACAUUCAUGUACCAAAAAUACAGGUAAUAAUUUACUAGGGUACUGUUCAGCAAAGCAACACAAUGCCUGACGUAGCAACAAUCGUUUUCUUUGUACAUAAUAUAAAGUAAACUAUCACAAAAAUGAAGACAAACAAAAUUUUUGGAGCAGAAAGUUUAAAGUACUUCAUUUUUAUGAACUUGCUAUCUCCUCUGUCACCAAUAAACACCAAGUAGUAGCUGAACGACCUGAUUCCACUGGGACAAUAAACAAAUAAACUUUUUAAAUUGUUGAUGUCAGAGAACAAUAACCAAAUGCUGCAUAAUGAGAUAGAUGUUAAUUAGCAUGACAAGUAACAUUAAGUGUGUUAAAGCCAGAAACCUAUCUUGGAUAGAAUUUGUGUGGACUGUGGAGAAUGGAAGAGGAACAAAACCAGGGAUAAAUUGAAAAAAAAAUAAGCAGAAACAAAAUCAAAGAAACAAGUUAGAUAUGAUAUAUCAUCAAAACCAUACAAAAUCCACUGUGCAAAUUUAAGAAGUGAUUAAAAGUUGCCACAAUGUGGAAAUAAAAGAAAAAAAAAAAGAGGUCUGACAUGAAAAAUAGCUUAAUAUUAGCAGAGAGAAUGCCUAUAAGAGUUACAGAAAAUCAUCCCCCAAUAAAGUAAAUGACAAAAUAUACAAGAAAAUUCAGGGAUUCAAAAACAGCUGCAAGACUUUGAAAAGAAUUAAGGACAGACAAGAAUGCCAUGAUAGAUACCCAUAAGCUACCUGUACUUUCCUUGGAGUUAUUUGCUCACCUACUAAUUCCCAACUCAAACCAAAGCAUUAAUAAGUUUAAUAAAUCUAAGAGAUAAAUAAUAGAAGUAGAAAAAAAAAAUUAUGAAUUCAUUUCUAAGCCUUGCAUUUGCUAAUAUACUAAGCAUUGCCCCCUGACAUACGUGAUAAUAACUGGAAACCAGAAGAGAUCUUCCAGCCAAUCAACGCAAUCUAAAUUUAAAGGCUAAAUAAAAGAUGCCACCAAGUUAGAACAACCAAAACAAUUUCUUCCUCUAGCUCAGCUUACAUUUAGAUGCCAAUUUGUACAUAUAUGUUAGAAAACUUUCAAAUUGUAGGAUUUAGAUUCAGCUAAUCGUAAAUAUGCAAACACUCCACGUUCGUAAGAAACUUAGACAAGCAAAGAAUGGAAUCCAUUUCCAUAAACAAAUAACUAAACAAGGAAAUAAAACCAUGUCACGAGAUCAAUGAUCCUAAAUUACAACAAAAAAUUCAAUAAUCCAUAAAUUUAAGCAAUUAAUCAAUUAAAUUCAUAGCCACAGAUGCAAAAAAGCGACCUUCUAACAAGAACGCCAACAGAAUAGAACAAAUACAGGAUGUUUAUUCCUUUCCUGUUAUGUCCUUCAAGCAGUUUCUCAAGAACCAAACAACAAAAUAAAUUGGAAAAGAAAAUGGAUCAGAGAUACAUGUACCUGCGAAUUGCCCUUCCUGCUUGUUAUGUCUUGGAAUCGGCCCUUCGGUUUGUCUACUUUUCUUAUUGAACGAUGUUUUAUUUUCCAAUAAUACCCUUUUAUUCCAAUGCGUGAUGAAUCAGGUGGGGAUAGGCCCUGAUCUGGUUAUUACAACCGUACACUGUUUCACUUCCUACAGAAUAAAUGAAAAAGAAAAUUCUAAUGAGUGGUAAGUAUUGUAGUAGUCUUAAUUUUGUUAAUAAUAAAUACGAAAAAUACCAGCUGGAUUCCAAUAAGAUCAUGCCACGCGGCACGCAUUAGAGAUUAUAGGUCUGAAAGACGUGGCGGGAUCUGAUCCUUGACCGUAUUGAAACAUAAUCGAAGGGGCAAAAUGGGGAAUGUAUUGUCAAAAGAAAUAAAAGUGAAAAUAAGGACGAUGAAACUUGAAAGCCCUGCAUAAACCGAACCGGUGCUGUAAAUGAGAGCGUAGGGAGAGGGAGUGUGUUUUGUUAGGAGGUCUGGUUCGCAGACUUAAACGGAGAACUUACCCAGCGGGAGCUUUCUGUCUCCGUUUCUCUCAUCUCAGGCAUCAAUUGUAAGAAUCUGUACUCGAGCAGAUUUGAUUUCUACAGCAAUAUGUUUAUUUUGCUUUACAUAUAUACUGUGGAGUCCAAUUGUUGUUUUCCCUGUAUAUUUAGCAGCUGGUCAUGAUCAUUUUUAUUCUUGAUCUGGGAAUUUCUGUUAUGCCUUGUCGCUUUUCAAUGUAGAAUGUUGAUGGGCAACUGGGUACCUCGCAAUUUUCACAGUUUUCUUCAAUUUAUAUUGUGGUUACUUUAAUGAUCGUUUGAGAUGAGAUCUUGAGUUUUGUUUUUUUUUUUCCCCCUAAGAAUUUACUAAUUAAAGCUAAUUCCUUUCCUGUAAUUUUUAAUUUCAGACUGUGAUUUGUUACCUCCACCAAUUGUCUAAAAUAAACAAAAGGAUCAGGUAAGGAAGAGAGAAUUUGAUUACUUCGUUUUUAUUGAGUAUUGGCUUUGGAUGCUUCAAGAUUCAGUGCUCAUGAAAACUAAAGAAGAAGAGAGGUGUUGAAUAUCUAUUAACCAUGUAAUCAGUUGUGGUUUCUUGCUACUAUUUUUGUUGUUUUCUUAUUAAAUUUUUAAGAAGCUAGGCAUAAAGUUGGAUAAAGUAGACCAAAAUGUGAUUUAAUCGCAAAUCAAUCUGUUGCUAUUCUUGUGAAUACUGUAGUGAGGACAACUCAGAUUAGUGGUGUCAUGGCCAGCCUAAGGACAUGGGAAUAGAUUAGUGGAAAGACUAGUAAUUUUAAGUUCUAAAAUCAGUAUCUGUUGGGUUAGCAUAAUGUGAAUAAAUAAUAAUACAAAUGGUUUGUGUCAUAUGUUAAAGUGUGUUAGCUAAACAUUUGAGGAUUGAUAGGCUGCAGCUGAGAUCAUUGAAAACGGAGAUAGAAUAUUUUUAAUGUAAGCUGUUGUCUUCAGUUUUCUCUGUGUUUUACUUAUUUCUAAUGUAUGUAUUGUUCUGAUCAGUUCCAGGAUUCUCAAGAAGUGGGCGUGAUGGAGAUCAAAUUGGAAUUAUGAAAUUCUUUUUCUCGUAAACCUAAAGGUUUGAAGGACCAAGUAAUAUUUAAGAUUAGAAAUAACAGAAAUGUUCUCAUUGUUCUAUGGUCUUUGGAAGUAUCUAUUCAGUAAGACAGAGUUUCAUGUACUCAUUCUUGGAAUUGACAAGGCGGGAAAAACGGUAAUGCUUCUUUGAGCCCUGAAUUGAUGAACUUUUCAUGUGCUUUACAAAAUGCUUUUCUUCUUAAUCCCACAAUAAAUUGUGAAUUUUGUUUGUGUCAUUGGUUUAGAACACAAUUGCCAUGCAUUUAUCUUUUUCCAUGUGUGAAUCUGUAGACUUUGUUGGAGAAAUUGAAAUCAUUGUUCUCAAACUUAGAAGGCCUCCCUCCUGAUCGAAUUGUUCCUACUGUUGGACUUAACAUUGGUCGCAUUGAAGUAUCAAAUACAAAACUUGUAUUCUGGGACCUGGGUGGUCAGGUAUGUAAAAUUUAUGCAUGAAAAUUAUCUAAUUUUCAGAAAAUAUUUGCAGGGGUGGGCCUUUUCCUUUAUUUAGGCAAGGGCUUGAGUGUUUACAGGUAAUCUCAUGUAUAAAACAUUUUUGGCUAGAUAUUGCUCCUAUUCCAUUUUUAUUCUGGCAAAUUAGUAGGAUCUAGGCUGUAAUGGUAUUCCUGGCUUUGUAGAAUGCUGCAGUAAUCACUACAGAGGUGCUACAGUGCCAGUAUGGACAAAAAUUUAAGUCCUGAUAAAGAGCCUGCUGAGCUUAUUUCAAGCAGGCACUUUACUUGCUAGGGCCUAUAGGCCAAUUUUAACAUGGCCCUAUAUGACAAAAUAUUACAUGUUAUGACACAUGCAAUCACUAUUGUUUUUCAUGAUAAAAAAAUCGUGUGUAAACUCUUUCUAGUUUCACCUAGGAAGCAGGCCGCACAUGGUACAAGGUUUGAAAAUCAAAUUGCGCAAUUGGCAGCAACUGAAGCAUUUUAAUUUUUCUGCCAGCCUGGUCUUCGCUCGAUUUGGGAGAAAUAUUACGAAGAGGCUCAUGCUGUUGUAUACGUAAUCGAUGCUACUUGUCCUUCUCGUUUUGAAGAUUCAAAGUCA
This 6556-nucleotide unclassified non-coding RNA is filed under the name Hevea brasiliensis (rubber tree). Lineage: Eukaryota; Viridiplantae; Streptophyta; Magnoliopsida; Malpighiales; Euphorbiaceae. The record is from RNAcentral.